RNAcentral lists this ribosomal RNA (561 nucleotides) under Clitopilus apalus. RNAcentral's name for it is "SSU rRNA". It matches the Rfam family "Bacterial small subunit ribosomal RNA", at positions 401 to 949 of the family's 1533-position model. The record is from RNAcentral. Lineage: Eukaryota; Fungi; Basidiomycota; Agaricomycetes; Agaricales; Entolomataceae.
GAGUGAACUAGCUAACUGAAAUCAUAAAAUCAUUAAUAGUGGUAAUAUGAUAACGUAAGGAUAAAAAAAAGAUAUAACCUUACUAUUAGUGUUGUCCAAAGUUGGUGCCAGAAGACUCGGUAAGGCCAAAGACGCAAACGUUAAUCGUCCUAAUCAGGCGUAAAGGGUAUGUAGGCUGCUUUGAAAGUUUUAUUUAUACUAGCUCUUUUUCUUUACAAAUAUAAAAAGAUAAUAUAAAAUGAAUUAAAGCUAGAAUCAUACAGAGGAUAAACCAAAUAAUACUUAGAGUAGGGAUGAUAUCUUUAGAUACUAAGGGGAAUACUAAGGGUGAAAGCUAUUUAUCUACUAAUGAUUGACGCUGAGAAACGAAGGUGAGAAUAGGAAAUAGGAUUAGAUACCCAGAUACCUCUCACUGUAAACGAUGAAUGGUGGUUGUUAGUAAUAAUAAAACUAGUAACGAUGUUAACACGAUAACCAUUCCGCCUUGCGAGUACGGUUGCAAAACUGAAACCAAAAAAAUUAGUCGGUCUCGGAGCAAACGAAGUGAAGCAUGUUAUUUAA